Brassica napus (rape) is the source of this 1835-nucleotide long non-coding RNA. RefSeq lists it as uncharacterized. The record is from RefSeq and is a predicted model, not a curated record. The transcript is spliced from 2 exons. Lineage: Eukaryota; Viridiplantae; Streptophyta; Magnoliopsida; Brassicales; Brassicaceae.
ACUAGUCAAACCUGAACGUGCGGAUAUAUAUUUCUUUUAAAAAUAAUCUUUAAAAUAUAAAAUAUUUUUUAUUUAUGUAUACAAAUAUUUUUUUAAAAAACUUUAUAUAUAUUGAAAUUUAUUUUUAUAAAAUUGUACUAAUCAUCUAUUCACCAUUUAUUACUAAUCAUCUAUUCACCAUUUAUUAUAUUUAUUUAUUUUAAAACGCAACAUUAUAUUAAUAAUCAACUUUUAUUAUAUGAAUUAUUACAAUUUUUUAUAUUUUAUUUAAAAAUUCUUGAAACAUUUUAUGUGACUAAAUUAAAUUAGCUAUAUUUUAUUUAGUGUAUUAUAUUUUAGUUUGGUGUUUACUAUAAAAUCUGGCCUAGAUUAAAUAUGAUAAAAAAAAUUGCAUAGUAUAAAUGUAUUUGGCUUUUACAAGAUUUUUUUUGUUCAACAUAGAAAAACUUAUUUUUUAGAUUUAUAUUGUUUUCUGAUAGAAAAAUAUCAUAUAUGAAUAAAUUUAGAAUGUAUUUAGAAUGUUUUGUUAAAUUUCUAGUUAAUGGUAACAUAGACUUUAUGAUAGAUAAAAAUUAGGACCCUAAAUUAAUAGAUUAGAUAUUUAUCUUUACAUACAUACAUAUAUAUAUAUAUAUAUAUAUAUAUAUAGUUUUAGAACUUUAGGUUGAGAACCCCUAUUGGGUACAAUCCGUCCCAAUGUUUAGGAACUUUAAAAGUGGCUAUUAAUAUUUCCCUAUAUUGUUUUGACAUAUUUUGAUCACAUUUGUAAUAAAAGUAUGGAUGUAAAAAUCCAUUAGUUUGCAAUUGCAAAAAAAAAGAUCCCUAGAUUUAAGUGAAUUGGUUAGAGUGCUAACGUGUAACCUAAUGGAACAAACAAGUUCCGACAUCUAAUUCUGCAUCUUGAGAUCAUGCUCAAUCCAUCAUCCAUCUCCCAGGAUCGAGUAGAUAUGCCUUUCAUUGGACAUUCUCCACCUCGGCCGAUGGAUUUUCCUAGUUUUGAUGUCAUGCUGUUGCACAAUAAGAUAUUGAUCACACAAGAACAAUUCUGUUUCAGCUUACGGAACUGACCACAACAUUCAGGCUAUAUUGGAGGCGCUGAAAAACCCAGAAGUUGUGGAGAUCAAGGUAUGUAAUAAGAUGAGCAUCUUUCUCUCGGGUUCAUGAAUGCAUAUAAAAUAAAAUGAGAUGUUGUAAGAUGAAACAUUAAGUACGCGAGGAGAUUGGUACACGUAUGUACUGUCUCGUUGCAAGCGGCCAAGCACUACAAGAAAACACCGGUAUUCCGACGACAAAUAUCGUCGGUAUGUCCUCGGAAUAACGGUAUUCCGUGGACAUACCGACGAGAAUGGUCGUCGACGAAGGAUACACUUCCUCGGAAUAUUCCCAAAAAUAAUUUUUUUAAAAAAAUUAAAUUUUUUUUUUUAAUUGAAAUUCGAAAAUAUAAAAUUAAAAUUGAAAUAGAAAACAUAUUAGAUAAUAUUCAAAGUUGUACAUACCAAAAUAAAACAUUCAGAGUUUUUUUUUUAAAAAAGAAAAAAACUACAGGAACUGCUCGUUCGGGUACAUCCUCCUCAUCAUCUCCAUCAUUUGCUCGUUCUGCUUCCUCGUUGCCUCCCAUCCCGCCUCUUGAUCCGCCAUCUUUUGCUCCAACGCAGCUAUGCGGUCAUCUUUGUCCUUCAACUGGUCCAUAAGCACUUCUGGAUCAACAUAGGGCUGUGGUGCAGAAGGAGGAACCGACCGGGCUCGACGACCUAAACCGACCAAACGUCCCUUCUUCUUUGGAACCGACUGAAAUAGAAAAUAAACAAAUUUAAAUAAUAGAAAAGAUGAUAAAA